Molecule: ribosomal RNA, 490 nt
Filed under: uncultured bacterium
Lineage: Bacteria
Description: partial 16S ribosomal RNA
Rfam family: Bacterial small subunit ribosomal RNA
Source: RNAcentral
AUUGAACGCUGGCGGCAGGCCUAACACAUGCAAGUCGAACGGUAACAGGAAGCAGCUUGCUGCUUUGCUGACGAGUGGCGGACGGGUGAGUAAUGUCUGGGAAACUGCCUGAUGGAGGGGGAUAACUACUGGAAACGGUAGCUAAUACCGCAUAACGUCGCAAGACCAAAGAGGGGGACCUUAGGGCCUCUUGCCAUCGGAUGUGCCCAGAUGGGAUUAGCUAGUAGGUGGGGUAACGGCUCACCUAGGCGACGAUCCCUAGCUGGUCUGAGAGGAUGACCAGCCACACUGGAACUGAGACACGGUCCAGACUCCUACGGGAGGCAGCAGUGGGGAAUAUUGCACAAUAGGCGCAAGCCUGAUGCAGCCAUGCCGCGUGUAUGAAGAAGGCCUUCGGGUUGUAAAGUACUUUCAGCGGGGAGGAAGGGAGUAAAGUUAAUACCUUUGCUCAUUGACGUUACCCGCAGAAGAAGCACCGGCUAACUCCGUG